Sander lucioperca (pikeperch) is the source of this 275-nucleotide long non-coding RNA. RefSeq lists it as uncharacterized. The record is from RefSeq and is a predicted model, not a curated record. The transcript has 3 exons. NCBI's taxonomy places the organism in Eukaryota, Metazoa, Chordata, Actinopteri, Perciformes, Percidae.
UGAAAGCUGUGGUUCAGCUGGAGGAGACAGUGAAGAGAUGAAAAAGCUGCUCGCUGAGUCUGAGCUGAAGAGGGUCCAGCAGUAUGCAGUGGAUGUGACUCUUGAUCCUGAUACAGCAUAUCCCUAGCUCAUGCUGUCUGAUGGGAAACAAGUGAAUCACGGUGAUGUAAAGAAGAAUCUCCCAGACAACCCAGAGAGAUUUUCUAAGUGUGUUAGUGUUUUAGGAAAACAGAGUUUCUCUUCAGGCAGAUUUUACUUUGAGGUUCAAGUUAAAG